UGCCUAAUACAUGCAAGUCGAACGAAUCUCUUUUAGAGAUGAGUGGCGAACGGGUGAGUAAUACAUAGGUAACCUGCCCCUGUGCGGGGGAUAACAGGAGGAAACUCCUGCUAAUACCGCAUAGCCAUGAGCACCGCAUGGAGCUCAUGCCAAAUAUCCUUUCGGGGAUAGCGCAGGGAUGGACCUAUGGCGCAUUAGCUUGUUGGCGGGGCAACGGCCCACCAAGGCAACGAUGCGUAGCCGGCCUGAGAGGGCGGACGGCCACAUUGGGACUGAGACACGGCCCAGACUCCUACGGGAGGCAGCAGUAGGGAAUUUUCGGCAAUGGGGGAAACCCUGACCGAGCAACGCCGCGUGAGCGAAGAAGGCCUUCGGGUCGUAAAGCUCUGUUGUAAAGGAAGAACGGCGCAUACAGGAAAUGGUAUGCGAGUGACGGUACUUUACCAGAAAGCCACGGCUAACUACGUGCCAGCAGCCGCGGUAAUACGUAGGUGGCGAGCGUUAUCCGGAAUCAUUGGGCGUAAAGAGGGAGCAGGCGGCCGCAAGGGUCUGUGGUGAAAGACCGAAGCUAAACUUCGGUAAGCCAUGGAAACCGGGCGGCUAGAGUGCGGAAGAGGAUCGUGGAAUUCCAUGUGUAGCGGUGAAAUGCGUAGAUAUAUGGAGGAACACCAGUGGCGAAGGCGACGGUCUGGGCCGCAACUGACGCUCAUUCCCGAAAGCGUGGGGAGCAAAUAGGAUUAGAUACCCUAGUAGUCCACGCCGUAAACGAUGGUCACUAAGUGUCGGGGGUCAAACCCCGGUGCUGCAGUCAACGCAAUAAGUGACCCGCCUGAGUAGUACGUUCGCAAGAAUGAAACUCAAAGGAAUUGACG
RNAcentral lists this ribosomal RNA (872 nucleotides) under uncultured bacterium. RNAcentral's name for it is "bacterial SSU rRNA". It matches the Rfam family "Bacterial small subunit ribosomal RNA", at positions 45 to 915 of the family's 1533-position model. The record is from RNAcentral.